RNAcentral lists this ribosomal RNA (672 nucleotides) under Triticum aestivum (bread wheat). RNAcentral describes it as "partial small subunit ribosomal RNA". Lineage: Eukaryota; Viridiplantae; Streptophyta; Magnoliopsida; Poales; Poaceae. The record is from RNAcentral.
AUGGAGUCCAUGACAAGUGGUGCUCUAAGUAUUGGGUCAACUACGGCAAUGGGAGUUGAAGAUGAUGCCAACAGCUUUGCCAUGGGCACGAUCCAGCAGGUCGAAAACAAUGAAAAUAGCUACCACACGCCAACACGAACUAACAGUCUUCCGUUUUGUGGGUCAAGAUAUGAGCCGGAGUGUGAUCCUAACUUACAGCCCGUAAUUGGUAUGCAAUUUGACACUUGGGAGGAAGGUAUGACAUUCUACAAAAUGUAUGCUCAUGAAGUCGGGUUCUCGGUUCGCACAUGGACGACACACAAAGAUGCACAUGGCAUACUGUGGAAGAGGUUUGUUUGUGCUAGGGAGGGUUGGAGAAAGGAGGCCCCAGAAGAGGAAAGGAUAAAACCUAAACGAAAAUUCAAGUUAACCAGGUGUGGUUGUGAGGCUAUGAUUGGACUGAGGAGGCAGGAUGAUGGCAAAUAUAAGGUUGCCCGGUUUGUUCAAUCACACAUUCACCAACUUAUUUCGCCAAGUAAGAGACAUCUCAUCAAGUCAAAUAGGGAAGUAAGUAGUGAGUUGAGGAGCAAACUACUUACAUGUCAUAAAGCAAUGGUUGGCACAUCUGCAGCAUAUCGCUUGCUUAGUGUAGAGACGGGGGGUCCGGAAAAUGUGGGCUGCACGUCAGCUUAG